CCUACGGUAGGCUGCAGUGAGGAAUAUUGGUCAAUGGACGCAAGUCUGAACCAGCAAUGCCGCGUGCAGGAAGACGGCUCUAUGAGUUGUAAACUGCUUUUGUACGAGGGUAAACGCAGAUACGCGUAUCUGUCUGACAGUAUCGUACGAAUAAGGAUCGGCUAACUCCGUGCCAGCAGCCGCGGUAAUACGGAGGAUUCCAGAGUUAUACGGAUUUAUUGGGUUUUAGGGGUGCGUAGGGGGUCGGAUAAGUUAGAGGUGAAAUCCCGAGGCUCAACUUCGGAAUUGCCUCUGAUACUGUUCGGCUAGAGAGUAGUUGCGGUAGGCGGAAUGUAUGGUGUAGCGGUGAAAUGCUUAGAGAUCAUACAGAACACCGAUUGCGAAGGCAGCUUACCAAGCUACUUCUGACGUUGAGGCACGAAAGCGUGGGGAGCAAACAGGAUUAGAUACCCUUGUAGUC
RNAcentral lists this ribosomal RNA (460 nucleotides) under uncultured bacterium. Its description in RNAcentral is "partial 16S ribosomal RNA". It matches the Rfam family "Bacterial small subunit ribosomal RNA", at positions 338 to 795 of the family's 1533-position model. The record is from RNAcentral.